Molecule: long non-coding RNA, 1442 nt
Organism: Oncorhynchus keta (chum salmon)
Lineage: Eukaryota; Metazoa; Chordata; Actinopteri; Salmoniformes; Salmonidae
Exons: 2
Source: RefSeq, a predicted model, not a curated record
CAGCAGUUUGGGCCGCCCGGCUCGUUGUGAACUAUGUGAAGACCAUUUCUUCCUAACAAAGACCUUAAUUAAUUUGCCAAAAUUGUACAUAAUUAUGACAUAACAUUGAAUGUUGUGCAAUGUAACAGCAAUAUUUAGACUUAGGGAUGCCAUCCGCACUGACAGUAAUGGUUUAUGGAAAGUGAAUAAAAUUAUUUCUUCAUCAUCUUGCUAGGUAGUUAUAUAGCUGUGGCCAUCUGGCUUGUAUCAACAAGUGCUUUCUACGAAAUUGCAACGUUAGCGCAGAUAGCUUGGAAUCUAGACUAUAAGCAAUACGCACAGAUAUGUAUUGCUAAACAAUGCUACUGCCACCUUCUGGUUUGGAGUAUUUUAACAAGGCUGAACACAAAAGAGAUUGACUGCCAACACUGAGGUGCUAAGUAUUGUUGACAGGUAAACAUUUGACAAUUCUACCGGUGUGUCUGAGCUUUAUGCUUAUAACAAGUAAAAAUGCAUCAACCUGUCAGCUUUAGUGUCACAAAAAGUUAUACUAUCAUGCCUUUGUCUUGCCCCUCUCCCCAUUCUCUGCCACCUCUCCUCCUUUCUCACCACUGCCCCAUCUCCCCCUCUCCCUACCCUUCUCUCACCCUCUCUCUCUGUAGUUCAGCAAUAAGAUAAAGUAUGUGAACAGCCUGGCGGAGCUACAAGAUAUAAUUCCAUUGGAGUAUGUGAACAUCCCUGAGAGCAUUAUCAAAGUUGAUAAAAGAAUACAUUCUGGUGUUUGAUCAUUCCUUGAUGACAGGCUACCCGUUUGGCCAUAUGACGUUGUGGUCAAGAGUAGACCACACUCUUCCUGCCUGCACACACCUGUGGUGAAGAGGAAAGGCUAUUCUACCAUACCUUAUUACUCUGCCAUGCAAGACAUAGGCACAGCAAGAAUCCAGGCUGUGUUAAACACAUAUUUUGGGACAUAUUGGGGAUUAUGAGAGUUUUUGUAAGCAAACAUGUUUUCAUUUACAUUCAUGUUUUCGAAAUGUAAUCCAUUGUUUAGAACCUGUCACACACUCAAUUACUGUUAUUUUCCAGGAUCAUAAGGUUGUCUCCACAUACAGUACAGUUAGGGGCAUUAAAAAGGUACUUCUUCUAAAUGAUUUUGUUGUAGCAAUGAUACAUCAUUAAUGUGACACACUCGCAGGGUGACUGCAAGCUCCAAUUUGAUUAGCAAUCAUCUACCAAUAACCCAUGUAAUGAAAUAGGUUUCUCAAAUAUGCCUCUGACAAUGCAGUUCUAUCAUUGUUUUUCUUGCUCUGCAGUACAGGUUCAUUUUAGAAUGCCCCCAACUGUACAAGUACAUACACUUGCAGUGCGUGCAUGCGUGUGUGUGUUUGUGUGACUCAAGUUGGCCACUGUGCAUUCACGUACUGGACAUUUACAUAUGUAAAAGUAAAUAUCUGUUACCUUCA